RNAcentral lists this unclassified non-coding RNA (397 nucleotides) under Chytridiomycota sp. Its description in RNAcentral is "partial contains small subunit ribosomal RNA, internal transcribed spacer 1, and 5.8S ribosomal RNA". The stretch from base 1 to 47 matches the Rfam family "Eukaryotic small subunit ribosomal RNA", at positions 1785 to 1831 of the family's 1831-position model. Lineage: Eukaryota; Fungi; Chytridiomycota. The record is from RNAcentral.
AAAGUCGUAACAAGGUAACCGUAGGUGAACCUGCGGUUGGAUCAUUAAAAAAAUUGAAUGUUCGGGAAGAGUACAGAUCUGUGUAGCCAGCUGCUCGUUCAUCCGCAAGGAUGGUUAGCUAGUUUACGUUUGUCCGCAAGGAUGGUCGUGUUUAGUUAUGUUUACGGCGCUGAUCUCCAGAUUUGGAAUUUCCCCAAUAUUGACAUCUUGUGAACUGUUCUGUUUCUGGCGGGUGGAUGGGGCUUUUGCAAAAAUUCCCCAUCUGUCAGCUUGGCUUGUUCCGAGCCGUGGACACCCCGCCAAACAUUUGCUUUAACCUAUAUCUAUCUGUAUUUUAUGUCUGAAAUUUCUGUAUGAAUAAUACAAACAACUUUUGGCAACGGAUCUCUUGGCUCUC